ACGGGUGAGUAACGCGUGAGAAUCUAGCUCUAGGUCGGGGACAACAGUUGGAAACGACUGCUAAUACCGGAUGUGCCGGAAGGUGAAAGAUUAAUUGCCUAGAGAUGAGCUCGCGUCUGAUUAGCUAGUUGGUGGGGUAAGAGCCUACCAAGGCGACGAUCAGUAGCUGGUCUGAGAGGAUGAUCAGCCACACUGGGACUGAGACACGGCCCAGACUCCUACGGGAGGCAGCAGUGGGGAAUUUUCCGCAAUGGGCGAAAGCCUGACGGAGCAAUACCGCGUGAGGGAGGAAGGCUCUUGGGUCGUAAACCUCUUUUCUCAGGGAAGAAAAAAAUGACGGUACCUGAGGAAUCAGCAUCGGCUAACUCCGUGCCAGCAGCCGCGGUAAUACGGAGGAUGCAAGCGUUAUCCGGAAUGAUUGGGCGUAAAGCGUCCGCAGGUGGCUGUGUAAGUCUGCUGUUAAAGAAUGAGGCUCAACCUCAUCAAAGCAGUGGAAACUACACGGCUAGAGUGCGUUCGGGGCAGAGGGAAUUCCUGGUGU
RNAcentral lists this ribosomal RNA (541 nucleotides) under Calothrix sp. ISB52. RNAcentral describes it as "bacterial SSU rRNA". It matches the Rfam family "Bacterial small subunit ribosomal RNA", at positions 102 to 676 of the family's 1533-position model. Lineage: Bacteria; Bacillati; Cyanobacteriota; Cyanophyceae; Nostocales; Calotrichaceae. The record is from RNAcentral.